Long non-coding RNA from Xenopus tropicalis (tropical clawed frog), 1562 nucleotides. RefSeq lists it as uncharacterized. The record is from RefSeq and is a predicted model, not a curated record. NCBI's taxonomy places the organism in Eukaryota, Metazoa, Chordata, Amphibia, Anura, Pipidae. The transcript has 2 exons.
GUGCCAGGUGAAUUUUUGCUGCAGUUGGCAUGGGGCAUUCUUAUUGCUUCUGCUAAGUAGCAGCGAUGAAAAUAGUGCAUUUAAUGCAACAGAGAUCCAAACAGUAAGUGUUCUUUUUUCAUGUUUUUUUGAGGCUGAUGUACGUAAGUAACAUAUACAAAGCUGAAAACAUUGGUUCGAAAGUACAAAAUCACCCUGUAGCACCUUGUGUUGAAGAUGCCAGCAACUGGUCACGUUAAUGCACUAUAAAGCAGAAAAAAAAGAAGUAGAACACCUAAUAGCACACUCUGAGACUUGAAGUCUUGCUGCAUUUUAUAGUGGAUGGUGUAGAGAGUCUCUGGAAAGCAAAGAAAAUACCAAUACAGGCCAAAUUGUCAUAUGCUUCUCAGCAUGGCUCCACGGAUGCUACUGCUUUCCCUGCUAUGAGGUGUAGAAAAUACCAUGGGUUACAUAAGGAUAAAUGUUUAGGAUGUUUCAGUUUCUAGGUGUUGCUAGUCCUUUAGGAUGUAUGUCUAAAGACAAUGACAACAUCUAUUUGGGUGUAAAUGUGGCACAGUGUGGUGCUGAAUCAGCGACUGUUAUACUUUUGUAUGUGAAACAACAUACGCUAUAAUACAGAUGCUAAAUGCCUUAACCUCAGGGUGCCUUUGUUUUAUUCUGUUUACUGCUGUAAACUGCUUUUUGGUCGCUAGAAUGUGAGCAUGCUGGCAGUACAUCGGAAAGAGACACCAUGAAAUCAAUAUGUUUCAAGUGUCUUUUCCUAUCCAAAUUAUAGGAGCAUUACUCCAGAAGUAUAAAUAGUAAUACCCCACAACUUGCCACUCUGCUCGCUUGAUAUAAAUAUGAAUGCAUUCACCUCACAGAGCUGUUGCAGGGCACGUUGGCUAAUGUGUACACACUACGGAAAAGUUCUAUUUACAAGUUUUUAACAAGCCAGUUGUCUCGUAUGACUGGCUAAUCCUCUACGUGUAACCUUGCUGAUGAAAGAGGAAGCUUCCCUUGUUGUGAUGAGGAGCAUGUAAAUUAUUGAUGUUUGCCUGAGCCGUUAGUGCUGUGGGGCUCGCGACGACAAGGCACCCAGGAUGAACAGUGGCAGCUAGUACCUGCAAAAUGGACUACUACUACCUUUCACGGUGCUUUAAAUGUUUUGGGACAGUCUGGGCAGCAGAGACAUCGGGUUCUAUAGCAGUCAUUGCUACCCCUUUCAACUACAGGCAGCUAAAAACAGCUGGAGGGCUGCAGAGUUUCCUAUGGCUUAUAUGUAAUAUGGUGUGGAUGGUCUGUGCUGUGAGUGCUGCAUACAAAGGCAUUGCUUCUACAGGAUCUGCCACAGUACAGGAAACAGGAUACUGCCUUGUUUAUCUCUUCCUCCAAACCUGUCUGCCCCUGAACUGGAGCUCUUUAACUCUGCAAAAUUAAAUGUGCCUCCAUUUCUGCCCCUUGUACCCUAUUUGCAUCAGGGAGUUCCAGCAAGUUUCUUUUUACUGUAUUUUGCCCAAUAUAAGAAUUGUCAUGCAUUUGGUAAAUGCAUUUUCUACUUAGGAAAGAACUGAAAAAAAAAA